Molecule: ribosomal RNA, 439 nt
Filed under: uncultured bacterium
Lineage: Bacteria
Description: bacterial SSU rRNA
Rfam family: Bacterial small subunit ribosomal RNA
Source: RNAcentral
UACGGAAGGCAGCAGGGGGAAUAUUGCACAAUGGGCGCAAGCCUGAUGCAGCCAUGCCGCGUGUAUGAAGAAGGCCUUCGGGUUGUAAAGUACUUUCAGUCGUGAGGAAGGUGUUAAGGUUAAUAACCUUAGCAAUUGACGUUAGCGACAGAAGAAGCACCGGCUAACUCCGUGCCAGCAGCCGCGGUAAUACGGAGGGUGCGAGCGUUAAUCGGAAUUACUGGGCGUAAAGGGCACGCAGGCGGUUAAUUAAGUUGGAUGUGAAAUCCCCGGGCUUAACCUGGGAAUGGCAUUCAAGACUGGUUAGCUAGAGUCUUGUAGAGGGGGUAGAAUUCCGAUGUGUAGCGGUGAAAUGCGUAGAGAUGUGGAGGAAUACCGGUGGCGAAGGCGGCCCCUGGACAAAGACUGACGCUCAUGUGCGAAAGCGUGGGGAGCAAAC